This 478-nucleotide long non-coding RNA is filed under the name Mytilus galloprovincialis (Mediterranean mussel). The record is from RNAcentral. Lineage: Eukaryota; Metazoa; Mollusca; Bivalvia; Mytilida; Mytilidae.
AGGUGUAUUGAAUAACAAAGUGAAAUGUUCAUACCUCAUAAAGUUUGUUUUUGGAUAUACGUUUGUCUUUUUUUUUUUCUUUUUUUGUCUGUAUUUUAUUUUGUUAUUGGGGUUUUUAUUGUGUGGGUUUUUUUUAAUGUGAGAGGGGAAUUCAGGGUGGGAGCAACAUUUGAGAUAUACAACAAUAGAUACUGUGACAUAAGCCUUAUAUACAAGGUUGAGCUAAACAAAUUAUUAAAGUAACACAAAAACUGAAACAUCGAAAAAUGCACUCUUUAUGCCAAUGUAAUAAAGGAAUAUCCAUUUAACACAUUUUUCGUUUUGAGUCGUCCUUUUUGUUUCAAUAAGUACAUUGUAACAUUUACAUGAAGGAAAGAAUGGUUGAACAGCACUGAAUAUAAGAGCCCCAGUUUUUUUUUUUUUUUUUUUUUUUUUUUUUUUUAUUUCUACCUGGUUAGUAAAAUCAUCAUUUAUAAUG